RNAcentral lists this ribosomal RNA (282 nucleotides) under uncultured bacterium. RNAcentral describes it as "partial 16S ribosomal RNA". It matches the Rfam family "Bacterial small subunit ribosomal RNA", at positions 337 to 636 of the family's 1533-position model. The record is from RNAcentral.
UCCUACGGGAGGCAGCAGUAGGGAAUAUUGCUCAAUGGGGGAAACCCUGAAGCAGCAACGCCGCGUGGAGGAUGAAGGGUUUCGGAUUGUAAACUCCUUUUGUUAGAGAAGAUGAUGACGGUAUCUAUCGAAUAAGCACCGGCUAACUCCGUGCCAGCAGCCGCGGUAAUACGUAGGGUGCAAGCGUUACUCGGAAUCACUGGGCGUAAAGAGCGCGUAGGCGGGAUAGCAAGUCAGGUGUGAAAUCCUGUGGCUUAACCAUAGAACUGCACUGGAAACUGU